This 345-nucleotide unclassified non-coding RNA is filed under the name soil metagenome. Its description in RNAcentral is "partial contains 5.8S ribosomal RNA, internal transcribed spacer 2, and large subunit ribosomal RNA". The stretch from base 1 to 120 matches the Rfam family "5.8S ribosomal RNA", at positions 35 to 154 of the family's 154-position model. The record is from RNAcentral.
GAUGAAGAACGCAGCGAAAUGCGAUAAGUAAUGUGAAUUGCAGAAUUCAGUGAAUCAUCGAGUCUUUGAACGCACAUUGCGCCCCCUGGUAUUCCGGGGGGCAUGCCUGUCCGAGCGUCAUUGCUGCCCUCAAGCACGGCUUGUGUGUUGGGCCUCCGUCCUCCUCCCGGGGGACGGGCCCGAAAGGCAUCGGCGGCACCGCGUCCGGUCCUCGAGCGUAUGGGGCUUCGUCACCCGCUCUUGUAGGCCCGGCCGGCGCUUGCCGACACAUCAAUCUUUUUUCCAGGUUGACCUCGGAUCAGGUAGGGAUACCCGCUGAACUUAAGCAUAUCAAUAAGCGGAGGA